CAGUAGCCGCGGGAAUACGUAGGGGGCAAGCGUUAUCCGGAAUAACUGGGCGUAAAGGGUGCGCAGGUGGUUUAACAAGUUAGUGGUGAAAGGCAUAGGCUCAACCAAUGUAAGCCAUUAAAACUGUUUAACUUGAGUGCAGGAGAGGAAAGUGGAAUUCCUAGUGUAGCGGUGAAAUGCGUAGAUAUUAGGAGGAAUACCAGUGGCGAAGGCGACUUUCUGGACUGCAACUGACACUGAGGCACGAAAGCGUGGGGAGCAAACAGGAUUAGAUACCCCGGUAGUCCCUGUCUCUUAUACA
This 301-nucleotide ribosomal RNA is filed under the name uncultured bacterium. Its description in RNAcentral is "partial 16S ribosomal RNA". It matches the Rfam family "Bacterial small subunit ribosomal RNA", at positions 509 to 808 of the family's 1533-position model. The record is from RNAcentral.